This is a long non-coding RNA of Cynara cardunculus var. scolymus (artichoke), 103 nucleotides long. RefSeq lists it as uncharacterized. The transcript has 2 exons. The record is from RefSeq and is a predicted model, not a curated record. NCBI's taxonomy places the organism in Eukaryota, Viridiplantae, Streptophyta, Magnoliopsida, Asterales, Asteraceae.
UUCAUAGACAAAGCAGUAAAGGGGGUGCACGAGGCGGAACGGGUUCACAAAGGGAUGUUAGAAAGGAACCAUCUAAAGUGGAAUCACGACCAAAGCUCAUCCC